AGCUCCAAUAGCGUAUAUUAAAGUUGCUGCAGUUAAAAAGCUCGUAGUUGGAUUUCUGGCUUGGCGCGCCUGGCCCGCCAGCGUUAGCUGUGUGAGUGCCGGUGCGUGCCUGCCAUCCUUCCAGAGACCAUUCCUACUCUUCACUGAGCCGGGAAUGCCAUCUGGAUCUUUUACUUUGAAAAAAUUAGAGUGUUUAAAGCAGGCUUUUGCUAUGAAUACAUUAGCAUGGAAUAAUAAUUUAGGACUUCGGUUCUAUUUUGUUGGUUUCUAGGACUGAAGUAAUGAUUGAUAGGGAUAGUUGGGGGUGCUAGUAUUCAGCGGCCAGAGGUGAAAUUCUCGGAUUCGCUGAAGACUAACUUAUGCGAAAGCAUUCACCAAGGAUGUCUUCU
RNAcentral lists this ribosomal RNA (389 nucleotides) under uncultured eukaryote. RNAcentral's name for it is "SSU rRNA". It matches the Rfam family "Eukaryotic small subunit ribosomal RNA", at positions 587 to 972 of the family's 1831-position model. The record is from RNAcentral.